RNAcentral lists this ribosomal RNA (254 nucleotides) under uncultured bacterium. RNAcentral describes it as "partial 16S ribosomal RNA". It matches the Rfam family "Bacterial small subunit ribosomal RNA", at positions 524 to 777 of the family's 1533-position model. The record is from RNAcentral.
UACGAAGGGGGCUAGCGUUGCUCGGAAUCACUGGGCGUAAAGCGCACGUAGGCGGAUUGCUAAGUCAGGGGUGAAAUCCUGGAGCUCAACUCCAGAACUGCCUUUGAUACUGAGGAUCUUGAGUUCGGGAGAGGUGAGUGGAACUGCGAGUGUAGAGGUGAAAUUCGUAGAUAUUCGCAAGAACACCAGUGGCGAAGGCGGCUCACUGGCCCGAUACUGACGCUGAGGCACGAAAGCGUGGGGAGCAAACGGGG